Molecule: small nucleolar RNA, 87 nt
Organism: Paramormyrops kingsleyae
Lineage: Eukaryota; Metazoa; Chordata; Actinopteri; Osteoglossiformes; Mormyridae
Source: Ensembl
GAUCUCCUAUGAUGUUUUGCACUGGGCUCUGAAUUCAGGUGGUGAUACAUGUGCCUCUGUCCUGACAAGGCAGAGUCUGAGGAGAUU